GACGAACGCUGGCGGCGUGCUUAACACAUGCAAGUCGAACGGAAAGGCCCUGCUUUUGUGGGGUGCUCGAGUGGCGAACGGGUGAGUAACACGUGAGUAACCUGCCCUUGACUUUGGGAUAACUUCAGGAAACUGGGGCUAAUACCGGAUAGGAGCUCCUGCUGCAUGGUGGGGGUUGGAAAGUUUCGGCGGUUGGGGAUGGACUCGCGGCUUAUCAGCUUGUUGGUGGGGUAGUGGCUUACCAAGGCUUUGACGGGUAGCCGGCCUGAGAGGGUGACCGGCCACAUUGGAACGGAGAUACGGCCCGGACUCCUACGGGAGGCAGCAGUGGGGAAUAUUGCACAAUGGGUGGAAGCCUGAUGCAGCAACGCCGCGUGCGGGAUGACGGCCUUCGGGUUGUAAACCGCUUUCGCCUGUGACGAAGCGUGAGUGACGGUAAUGGGUAAAGAAGCACCGGCUAACUACGUG
This 468-nucleotide ribosomal RNA is filed under the name uncultured bacterium. RNAcentral describes it as "partial 16S ribosomal RNA". It matches the Rfam family "Bacterial small subunit ribosomal RNA", at positions 28 to 507 of the family's 1533-position model. The record is from RNAcentral.